UUCGGCUUGUUACCGACAGUCCCGAUAGAGUUCCCAACUUAAUGAUGGCAACUAUCGGCAGGGGUUGCGCUCGUUGCGGGACUUAGCCCAACAUCUCACGACACGAGCUGACGACAGCCAUGCACCACCUGUCUCCGCGUCGUCUUGCGACGAAACCCGACUUUCAUCGGAUUGCACGGGAUGUCAAGCCCAGGUAAGGUUCCUCGCGUUGCAUCGAAUUGAACCACAUGCUCCACCGCUUGUGCGGGCCCCCGUCAAUUCCUUUGAGUUUCGGCCUUGCGACCGUACUCCCCAGGCGGAAUGCUUAAUGCGUUAGCUUCGGCACGGCAGGGAUCGAUACCCGCCACACCAAGCAUUCAUCGUUUAGGGCCAGGACUAC
RNAcentral lists this unclassified non-coding RNA (379 nucleotides) under uncultured bacterium. RNAcentral describes it as "contains 16S-23S intergenic spacer region". The record is from RNAcentral.